GAAUCUGAUUGUUAAGCUCCACCAUAUGUAUUUGCCUUAUCAUCACAAUUGUAUGUCCGUUCGAUAAUUUGCUAUAGAUACCCCUGGUUAGGAGUUGGCGAAGGGUUCGACGCUUGCUUUUCCUACUAGCCGUGCUUUGCUUGAAACCUGAAGCACCAGUCACUAGCAGUCAGGCAUUCAUUCCUACAUGGUUGGCCAAAUUAUAUCAUAUUUUGUUGCUGGUUGCUUUCGCGCCACGACCUUAAAAUCAGGGCGCCGGAAGUCCAUGAGCUGAUGACUGCUGAGAAGCCACACAAGACACAAGAACGU
This 309-nucleotide small RNA is filed under the name Histoplasma ohiense. RNAcentral's name for it is "hypothetical lncRNA". The record is from RNAcentral. Lineage: Eukaryota; Fungi; Ascomycota; Eurotiomycetes; Onygenales; Ajellomycetaceae.